RNAcentral lists this ribosomal RNA (501 nucleotides) under uncultured bacterium. RNAcentral's name for it is "partial 16S ribosomal RNA". It matches the Rfam family "Bacterial small subunit ribosomal RNA", at positions 28 to 523 of the family's 1533-position model. The record is from RNAcentral.
GAUGAACGCUGGCGGCAGGCUUAACACAUGCAAGUCGAGCGGAGCGAGGGUGCUUGCACCUUAGCUUAGCGGCGGACGGGUGAGUAAUGCUUAGGAAUCUGCCUAUUAGUGGGGGACAACAUUCCGAAAGGAAUGCUAAUACCGCAUACGCACUACGGGGGAAAGCAGGGGAUCUUCGGACCUUGCGCUAAUAGAUGAGCCUAAGUCGGAUUAGCUAGUUGGUGGGGUAAAGGCCUACCAAGGCGACGAUCUGUAGCGUGUCUGAGAGGAUGAUCCGCCACACUGGGAAUGAGACACAGCCCAGACUCCUACGGGAGGCAGCAGUGGGGAAUAUUGGACAAUGGGCGGAAGCCUGAUCCAGCCAUGCCGCGUGUGUGAAGAAGGACUUUUGGUUGUAAAGCACUUUAAGCGAGGAGGAGGCUCUUAAGGUUAAUACCCUUGAUGAGUGGACGUUACUCGCAGAAUAAGCCCCGGCUAACUUUGUGCCAGCAGCCGCCGUAA